AGAGCGAACGCUGGCGGCAGGCCUAACACAUGCAAGUCGAGCGCCCAGCAAUGGGAGCGGCAGACGGGAUAGUAACACGUGGGAACGUACCUUUCAGUUCGGAACAACCCAGGGAAACUUGAGCUAAUACCGGAUACGGUCGAGAGGCGAAAGAUUUAUCGCCGGAGGAUUGGCCCGCGUCCGAUUAGCUAGUUGGUGUGGUAAUGGCGCACCAAGGCGACGAUCGGUAGCUGGUCUGAGAGGAUGAUCAGCCACAUUGGGACUGAGACACGGCCCAAACUCCUACGGGAGGCAGCAGUGGGGAAUAUUGGACAAUGGGCGCAAGCCUGAUCCAGCCAUGCCGCGUGAGUGAUGAAGGCCUUAGGGUUGUAAAGCUCUUUCGCCCACGACGAUAAUGACGGUAGUGGGAGAAGAAGCCCGGCUAACUCGUGCCAGCAGCCGC
This 442-nucleotide ribosomal RNA is filed under the name uncultured bacterium. Its description in RNAcentral is "SSU rRNA". It matches the Rfam family "Bacterial small subunit ribosomal RNA", at positions 26 to 518 of the family's 1533-position model. The record is from RNAcentral.